This 2278-nucleotide long non-coding RNA is filed under the name Musa acuminata (dwarf banana). Its description in RNAcentral is "long non-coding RNA (MACU_LNC008410)". Lineage: Eukaryota; Viridiplantae; Streptophyta; Magnoliopsida; Zingiberales; Musaceae. The record is from RNAcentral.
CACUUAAAGUAGAGGUCGAGGAAGCAAGGGGAGAAGCAUCAAGGGAAGCGUAGUUACUUGGCUGAUAUCAAAGUUGUUGGUUGUCCACUUGAACUUAUAUAAAAGCUCCUUGCCUACUUGGUCCCGGGGUUGAUGAAACUUCACUGGUUAUCUUUCCACUCCCCUUAUAUACAAGUGAACUGUGUACUGUGCCACUUAUAUAUCUGCACCUGUUCUUUUCACUUCAACUACCAUGAUAGAUCUAGUGGGCCAUAAUACAUAGGCUAGCACAUUCCCUUACUGAGUGGAUGUUAACUACAGGUCUGCUCUAACUGCUUACUUACCUCGACUUGAAGUUCUGAACCACUGUUUGCUGAUUACUUUUGCACCUCUGAUUCUGAAAACAAUGAAAGUAAAGCCUUAGAAACAAGCACAAUUACCUCUCUAAACCGACCCGAACCCAACCUUUUAUUUCGCACUCUCACUUGACUUUCUUUUCCACUUGCAGCUGACGAAACAAGCAAAUCAUAUCCUUAUCUUUCACUGUGAACUACUUUCCCUUUAGCCGAGUUAACAAAUACUUCUCUUUUGAGAUCCGAGUCCACUAAUACUGACGUUGCUUAUUUGCUUCUUGUUCUUGUUCCGUAGCUUGUUUAAACUUCUUUUUGGAUUUAUGAUAUGUAAGAUAUUCACCCCCCAGAUUACUGCUGGCUCAAGGCACCUCGAAAGGAAGCUAACAUUAUUACCUCAAAAGUAAGCUAAGGCACCAAAGGCUUUGUUGAGUUAAGUGAGUGUAGAGUCAGAAGGGCAGUUGUGUUACUAUGUUCUAUAUGUAGUAUAAAGCUCUCUUCUUACUCCAUUUCUAUUCAUUUCCAUUCUAUUCCUUAGAAUAAGCCGUUGUGCACUGUCGGGGUACGCCUAUAAUAUGAGUUUUGGAAGCUUCCAGUCAGCAGUAAGCAAUAAGACGUUAGCAGACGCGCAUUAGGGGUUUUCUAUUGGAAUUGGGUAGCGCGCAGUAUAGUAUGUUACACAGGUCCUACUGAAGUAGCUUGUUCGCAAGCCAUUACGCGUUUACUUAUUGUGUUUGGGUGCGUUAGCGAGCGCAGCACAAGGUGAAUAAAAGUAAUGCCAAUUUCAAGAGUACGACCCGCCCAGUUUAGGAGAUCUGGGUUUUUGGAUUCUCUCUCCCUCCUCGAAUUCCUAUAGCUACCUAAGAGAUCCGAUACCUCUGCUGUACUUCUUUGACUUGGAAAGAGUGACGUGAAUAGAGUUGAGCUUUCUCUAUGUCGUAGGUCUCUAAAUCUACUGUUAUACUUACCUUUCGAACGGAUCGAUACCGAGUGGCACUGAAUUAGCGCUUUAUCUUGAUACUAGAAAAUGCAGUCUUCGAGGCGCCCUCACGGAUUGGGCUUAGAUAGCCUUAACCUAGUUGUUGCGGCCCUAUCCGCAAUACUUAGGUCUCUCGUCUCUCUCCUCUUCCCUUCGUUUUGGGUUUGGCAGGUCUCUCGAUGAUAGCCAUGUUUUCGACAGCAAGCUCCAAUUCUCCUUGAUCAAGACUCCGUCUAGGUUCUCACACCAGUCCUCUUAUCAAAGAAGAGCUACUCGACGUCAAGUCCUAAUUAAGACAACUUCAUAACCGAGGAGUGGAGAUGCAUUCCCUGAUCUGAUCCAUUUAACUACCCUUUCAUGAAAGCCCAGGAACGAUUCCAAUCAAUCGAAGAAUGUGUCCCGCAACGAAGAAGCGCUAGCAUACCUAUCGACUCUUCGCGUUACUUUCGGCGGGCUUUCACUAUUUCUUUCACUAUUUCCAAAAAGAGAUGAAUAGACGGAGCUUCAAAAGUACCUUCCUUCCACUCAAAGAGGAAACCCUGGUUUCCUCGGUUUUGCAUACCCUUCUAUUAGCCUGCCAUUCCUUUUCCAAACCUCUACCCUGCGCUGCACUCCAGUGGUUAGAUCGACGAAACUCCUUUUUGCCCUUAAGGGUUCUUGCCCUCUUUUCUCUUGAGAUCACCCUCUUAGAAUACGAAACCAAGCUCCGUUUUCAAGGUUCAAGAAAGAGCCUGGAUAAGGUCCCUACUUACUGGACUUCUUCGGAAUCCAAACUCCUGACAGUCGGUAGGGUACCGAAAGCUGGGAUAAAUAAAAUGAAUUUAAGCAGAUAGAAAUCAAAAGAAUUGGAUAUAGGGCCACCACAAAGGAGUGUUCCAAGGAAAAGAAAGCGAAAUAGUAAGAGUCAUGGGCAAGAGCGACUGUGUGUACAUGCAUUAGGAAUCAAACUCAAAGACCUAUGCUAGGGAAU